This 497-nucleotide ribosomal RNA is filed under the name uncultured bacterium. RNAcentral describes it as "partial 16S ribosomal RNA". It matches the Rfam family "Bacterial small subunit ribosomal RNA", at positions 28 to 507 of the family's 1533-position model. The record is from RNAcentral.
GAUGAACGCUGGCGGCGUGCCUAAUAUAUGCAAGUCGAGCGAACGGACGAGAAGCUUGCUUCUCUGAUGUUAGCGGCGGACGGGUGAGUAACACGUGGAUAACCUACCUAUAAGACUGGGAUAACUUCGGGAAACCGGAGCUAAUACCGGAUAAUAUUUUGAACCGCAUGGUUCAAAAGUGAAAGACGGUCUUGCUGUCACUUAUAGAUGGAUCCGCGCUGCAUUAGCUAGUUGGUAAGGUAACGGCUUACCAAGGCAACGAUGCAUAGCCGACCUGAGAGGGUGAUCGGCCACACUGGAACUGAGACACGGUCCAGACUCCUACGGGAGGCAGCAGUAGGGAAUCUUCCGCAAUGGGCGAAAGCCUGACGGAGCAACGCCGCGUGAGUGAUGAAGGUCUUCGGAUCGUAAAACUCUGUUAUUAGGGAAGAACAUAUGUGUAAGUAACUGUGCACAUCUUGACGGUACCUAAUCAGAAAGCCACGGCUAACUACGUG